Molecule: unclassified non-coding RNA, 244 nt
Filed under: Ambisporaceae sp.
Lineage: Eukaryota; Fungi; Glomeromycota; Glomeromycetes; Archaeosporales; Ambisporaceae
Description: partial contains 5.8S ribosomal RNA and internal transcribed spacer 2
Rfam family: 5.8S ribosomal RNA (bases 1-71)
Source: RNAcentral
GUGAAUCAUCGAAUUUUUGAACGCAUAUUGCACUCUCUGGUAUUCCGGAGAGUAUGCCUAUUUGAGGGUCAUUUGAAAUAAUAUAAAUUCUAAUAUUUCUUGGUAUUUAAAAUGGGUUGUAUUUUUUUUGUGGUCGCUUAAUAUACAAGACAUGAUAAUUUUCUUUGGUUUUGUCAUACUUUCAGUUACCUUGUUACUUAACUUGGAAUCAUAGGAUGUUUUAUGAAUUUUGCAUGAGUUAACA